This 506-nucleotide ribosomal RNA is filed under the name uncultured bacterium. RNAcentral describes it as "partial 16S ribosomal RNA". It matches the Rfam family "Bacterial small subunit ribosomal RNA", at positions 29 to 523 of the family's 1533-position model. The record is from RNAcentral.
AUUGAACGCUGGCGGCAGGCCUAACACAUGCAAGUCGGACGGUAGCACAGAGGAGCUUGCUCCUUGGGUGACGAGUGGCGGACGGGUGAGUAAUGUCUGGGGAUCUGCCCGAUAGAGGGGGAUAACCACUGGAAACGGUGGCUAAUACCGCAUAACGUCGCAAGACCAAAGAGGGGAACCUUCGGGCCUCUCACUAUCGGAUGAACCCAGAUGGGAUUAGCUAGUAGGCGGGGUAAUGGCCCACCUAGGCGACGAUCCCUAGCUGGUCUGAGAGGAUGACCAGCCAAACUGGAACUGAGACACGGUCCAGACUCCUACGGGAGGCAGCAGUGGGGAAUAUUGCACAAUGGGCGCAAGCCUGAUGCAGCCAUGCCGCGUGUAUGAAGAAGGCCUUCGGGUUGUAAAGUACUUUCAGCGGGGAGGAAGGCGGUGAGGUUAAUAACCUCGCCGAUUGACGUUACCCGCAGAAGAAGCACCGGCUAACUCCGUGCCAGCCGCCGCGGUAA